RNAcentral lists this ribosomal RNA (563 nucleotides) under Penicillium ochrochloron. RNAcentral describes it as "eukaryotic LSU rRNA". The stretch from base 189 to 342 matches the Rfam family "5.8S ribosomal RNA". Lineage: Eukaryota; Fungi; Ascomycota; Eurotiomycetes; Eurotiales; Aspergillaceae. The record is from RNAcentral.
CGGAAGGAUCAUUACCGAGUGAGGGCCCUCUGGGUCCAACCUCCCACCCGUGUUUAUCGUACCUUGUUGCUUCGGCGGGCCCGCCUCACGGCCGCCGGGGGGCAUCCGCCCCCGGGCCCGCGCCCGCCGAAGACACCAUUGAACUCUGUCUGAAGAUUGCAGUCUGAGCGAUUAGCUAAAUCAGUUAAAACUUUCAACAACGGAUCUCUUGGUUCCGGCAUCGAUGAAGAACGCAGCGAAAUGCGAUACGUAAUGUGAAUUGCAGAAUUCAGUGAAUCAUCGAGUCUUUGAACGCACAUUGCGCCCCCUGGUAUUCCGGGGGGCAUGCCUGUCCGAGCGUCAUUGCUGCCCUCAAGCACGGCUUGUGUGUUGGGCCCCGCCCCCCGGUUCCGGGGGGCGGGCCCGAAAGGCAGCGGCGGCACCGCGUCCGGUCCUCGAGCGUAUGGGGCUUUGUCACCCGCUCUGUAGGCCCGGCCGGCGCCCGCCGGCGACCCCAAAUCAAUCUAUCCAGGUUGACCUCGGAUCAGGUAGGGAUACCCGCUGAACUUAAGCAUAUGAGAAGG